Molecule: small nuclear RNA, 106 nt
Organism: Suncus etruscus (white-toothed pygmy shrew)
Lineage: Eukaryota; Metazoa; Chordata; Mammalia; Eulipotyphla; Soricidae
Source: RefSeq, a predicted model, not a curated record
GUGCUCACUUCGGCACCACAUAUACUAAAAUUGGAACGAUACAGAGAAAGUAACAUGGCCCCUAAGCAAAGAUGACACACAAAUUCAUGAAAUAUUACAUAUUUAA